UUAUCCGGAUUUAUUGGGUGUAAAGGGAGCGUAGGCGGGUGCUUAAGUCAGUUGUGAAAGUUUGCGGCUCAACCGUAAAGUUGCAGUUGAUACUGGGCGCCUUGAGUGCAGCAUAGGUAGGCGGAAUUCGUGGUGUAGCGGUGAAAUGCUUAGAUAUCACGAAGAACUCCGAUUGCGAAGGCAGCUUACUGGACUGUAACUGACGCUGAUGCUCGAAAGUGUGGGUAUCAAACAGGAUUAGAUACCCUGGUAGUCCACACAGUAAACGAUGAAUACUCGCUGUUGGCGAUACACAGUCAGCGGCCAAGCGAAAGCAUUAAGUAUUCCACCUGGGGAGUACGCCGGCAACGGUGAAACUCAAAGGAAUUGACGGGGGCCCGCACAAGCGGAGGAACAUGUGGUUUAAUUC
This 409-nucleotide ribosomal RNA is filed under the name uncultured bacterium. Its description in RNAcentral is "bacterial SSU rRNA". It matches the Rfam family "Bacterial small subunit ribosomal RNA", at positions 541 to 952 of the family's 1533-position model. The record is from RNAcentral.